CAUAUUUGAUGUUAUAUAUUCAACUCAUACCAUACAUGAAUUUGCAACGCCAUGUACUUGUUGAUGGCAAGGUCAGGACUGACAAGACCUACCCUGUUGGGUUCAUGGAUGUCAUUUCCAUCCCUAAGACAAAUAAGAACUACAGGCUGCUUCCGUCUUCACCCAAUCAGGGAUGAGGAUGCCAAGUUCAAGCUCUGCAACGGGAGGUCUGUUCAGUUUGACGUCGACAACGUGGUCAUGGUGACUGGCGGGAGGAACACCGGGCGUGUAGGAGUGAUCAAGAACUGGGAGAAGCACAAGGGCAUCUUCGAGGUCAUCGACGUGCUGCUUGGAGUUUUUUGCAUGCUAUGUCUAGUUUUCUCCUAUUUGUUGUACAGGAAAACAUAGAAUGGAAUUCAAAUUUGGUGGUCGCAAAAGUGUG
Molecule: RNA transcript, 421 nt
Organism: Zea mays
Lineage: Eukaryota; Viridiplantae; Streptophyta; Magnoliopsida; Poales; Poaceae
Gene name: 40S ribosomal protein S4-pseudogene
Exons: 3
Source: RefSeq, marked validated